This 412-nucleotide unclassified non-coding RNA is filed under the name soil metagenome. RNAcentral's name for it is "partial contains 5.8S ribosomal RNA, internal transcribed spacer 2, and large subunit ribosomal RNA". The stretch from base 3 to 119 matches the Rfam family "5.8S ribosomal RNA", at positions 38 to 154 of the family's 154-position model. The record is from RNAcentral.
GAGAAGAACGUAGCGAAAUGCGAUAAGUAAUGUGAAUUGCAGAAUUCAGUGAAUCAUCGAAUCUUUGAACGCACCUUGCGCUCUUUGGUAUUCCGAAGAGCAUGCCUGUUUGAGUGUCAUGAAAAUAUCAACCUUGACUUGGGUUUUGUGCUCUAGUCUCGGCUUGGAAUUGGGUGCUUGCCGCUUUUACGAGCGGCUCACCUUAAAUGUAUUAGCUGGAUCUGUCUUUGAGACUUGGUUUGACUUGGCGUAAUAAGUAUUUCGCUAAGGACAUUCUUCGGAGUGGCCUCGUUUCUAGGACGCUUGUCCGCUUUCCAAUACAAGUUCCACCUCGUGGACAUGACUUUUUAUUAUCUGGCCUCAAAUCAGGUAGGACUACCCGCUGAACUUAAGCAUAUCAAUAAGCGGAGGA